RNAcentral lists this ribosomal RNA (473 nucleotides) under uncultured bacterium. RNAcentral describes it as "bacterial SSU rRNA". It matches the Rfam family "Bacterial small subunit ribosomal RNA", at positions 29 to 506 of the family's 1533-position model. The record is from RNAcentral.
AUGAACGCUGGCGGCGUGGAUAAGCCAUGCAAGUCGAACGAGACUUCUGAAAUUAAUAACUGAGAUUACAUCAAAGUGAAAAAGUCGCAGAAGUAAAGUGGCAGACGAGGUAGGAAUAUAUAGGAACGAACCCCAGGGUCAGGAAUAACUAGUCGAAAGAUUAGCUAAUACUUGAUAUAUCGCAAGAUGAAAGAUUUAUCGCCAUGGGAUUGGCCUAUACGGUAUCAGGUAGUUGGUAGGGUAAUGGCCUACCAAGCCUAUGACGCCUAGGAGAAGCGAGAGCUUGACCUCCACCGAUGGGACUGAGACACGGCCCAUACACCUACGGGUGGCAGCAGGCGAGAAUAUUCGACAAUGGACGAAAGUCUGAUCGAGCGACGCCGCGUGUACGAUGAAGUUUUUCGGAAUGUAAAGUACUUUUAUGAGGGAAGAACGUUGACGGUACCUCAUGAAUAAGUGGUUGCUAACUCUGU